RNAcentral lists this long non-coding RNA (370 nucleotides) under Nicotiana benthamiana. RNAcentral describes it as "long non-coding RNA (NBEN_LNC019685)". The record is from RNAcentral. Lineage: Eukaryota; Viridiplantae; Streptophyta; Magnoliopsida; Solanales; Solanaceae.
GAUAAUAACAAUCAAUUACAAUAACAACUUGCGGAAGUACCUGUGAUUGCUUUCCUUUCUUCUCAUCGUGCAAAUACUCCCUAAGAGGAAUAAAGGCAGCUAGCUUGCAGGCCUCGAGAAUGUUUGAACCAGUGUAUCCCUCACACAAGCCAGCAAGUCGAUCAAAGUCAACGUUAUCUUCAAUUCUCUCACCCUUCAAAACUACCUUAAAUAUCUUUGUUCUAUCACCAAGGGAAGGCCUGAACCAGUGUAUCCCUCACACAAGUCAGCAAGUCGAUCAAAGUCAACGUUAUCUUCAAUUCUCUCACCCUUCAAAACUACCUUAAAUAUCUUUAUUCUAUCACUAAGGGAAGGCUUCCCAAUCUCAAAU